This 350-nucleotide long non-coding RNA is filed under the name Mytilus galloprovincialis (Mediterranean mussel). The record is from RNAcentral. Lineage: Eukaryota; Metazoa; Mollusca; Bivalvia; Mytilida; Mytilidae.
AUUAUAUCAAACUUGUAAACGGUUAAUUUGUAAAUCGUAAUGUCAAAACAUCAAAAUUAUAUCAAAAGUACAGUUAAAUGAAUCCCCGGUCCUCUUCAACUUUCUUUUUAAGCAGUUUUCUUUCUUGUGCUGUUCCCUUACGAUAGGGUAGUGUGCCGUAAUCGCUCUUAUAUUUGUAAUUAUUCACUUCAAUAUUUUCUAUGUUGUUUUCAUCCCUCUCUUUCCUAUGGACAACGGACGCGUGCUGCAUUGCCCUUUCUCUUUUUGCCAACCUCUGUGUACAUGCUAUGCAUACAUAUACCAUUAUCUUUUUCACAUGUAUCUCACUCCAGUGUUGAAUAUAUUUUGCG